This 695-nucleotide ribosomal RNA is filed under the name Tubeufia cerea. Its description in RNAcentral is "mitochondrial SSU rRNA". It matches the Rfam family "Bacterial small subunit ribosomal RNA", at positions 401 to 1140 of the family's 1533-position model. Lineage: Eukaryota; Fungi; Ascomycota; Dothideomycetes; Tubeufiales; Tubeufiaceae. The record is from RNAcentral.
AUGAAUGAAUAAGGACUUAGUUUUAUAAAGUUCGGANUAAUUAAUGAUUAUGACAUUGAUUAUUUUUAAGUCUUGACUAAAUAUCGUGCCAGCAGUCGCGGUAAUACGAUGGAGACAAGUGUUAGUCAUCUUUAUUAGGUAUAAAGGGUACCUAGACGGUAAAUAAUAGCCUUGUAUUUAUAGAUAGGGUACUUUUUUACUUGAGUUUUAUAGGAGAGGAAAAUAUUAGAACUAUAGGAGUAAGGAUGAAAUAUUUUGAUACUUAUGGGACUGAGAGAGGCGAAAGCAACCCUCUAUCUUAAAACUGACGUUGAGGGACGAAGGCUUGGGUAACGAAUAGGAUUAGAUACCCUAGUAGUCCAAGCAGAUAAUGAUGAGUGUCAUAGACUAGGUUAUGGUUAUUACUUAGUGUAUAAAUGAAAGUGUAAGCACUCCACCUCAAGAGUAAUACGGCAACGUAGGAACUGAAAUCAUUAGACCGUUUCUGAGAACAGUAGUGAAGUAUGUUGUUUAAUUCGAUAACCCACGAAAAAUCUUACCACAAUUUGAAUAUUAGUAAUUUAUUAUUAAUACAAGCGCUGCACGGCUGUCUUCAGUUAAUGUCGUGAGACUAUGGUUAGCUCCAUUAAAUUUACGUAAGCCCUUGCUUUAUUUUUAAAUAAAGUAGUUCACCGCUAUAUAUGGUUUUUAUAAUA